RNAcentral lists this long non-coding RNA (593 nucleotides) under Salmo salar (Atlantic salmon). RNAcentral describes it as "lncRNA (ENSSSAG00000082493.1)". Lineage: Eukaryota; Metazoa; Chordata; Actinopteri; Salmoniformes; Salmonidae. The record is from RNAcentral.
GUGUUUGUCCAGUGUGUGUGUGUGUGUGUUUGUCCAGUGUGUGUGUGUGUGUGUGUGUUUGUCCAGUGUGUGUGUGUGUGUGUGUUUGUCCAGUGUGUGUGUGUGUGUGUGUGUCCAGUGUGUGUGUGUGUGUGUGUGUGUGUCCAGUGUGUGUGUGUGUGUCCAGUGUGUGUGUGUGUGUCCAGUGUGUGUGUGUGUGUCCAGGUGUGUGUGUGUGUGUCCAGUGUGUGUGUGUGUGUGUCAGUGUGUGUGUGUGUCCAGUGUGUGUGUGUGUGAGUCCAGUGUGUGUGUGUGUGUGUUUGUCUAGUGUGUGUGUCCAGUGUGUGUGUGUCUGUGUGUAUCCAGUGUUUGUGUGUGUGUGUUGUGUGUGUGUGUGUGUGUUUGUCUAGUGUGUGUGUCCAGUGUGUGUGUGUCUGUGUGUAUCCAGUGUUUGUGUGUGUGUGUGUCCAGUGUGUGUGUUUGUCCACUUUGUUUGUCCAGUGUGUGUGUGUGUGUGUGUCCAGUGUGUGUGUGUGUGUGUGUGUGUGUAUUUUUGUUUGACAGUGUGUGUGUGUGUGUGUGUGUGUGUGUGUGUGUGUGUGUGUGUGUGUCCA